GAUGAACGCUGGCGGCGUGCUUAACACAUGCAAGUCGAACGGAAAGGCUCUUGCUUGCAGGGCUACUCGAGUGGCGAACGGGUGCGUAACACGUGGGUGAUCUGCCCUGCCCUUCGGGAUAAGCCUGGGAAACUGGGUCUACUACCGGUUAGGACCACAUUUUGGAUGGUGUGGUUGCAAGUUUUUCGGUGUGGGCUGAGGUCGCGAGCUAUCAGGUUGUUGGUGGGGUAAUGGCAUACCAAGGCGUCGACGGGUAGCCGGCCUAAGAGGAUGGACGGCCACAUUGGGACCGUGAUACGGCCCAGACUCGUACAGGAGGCAGAAGGGGGGAAUAUUGCACAAUGGACGCAAGCCUGAGGCAGCGACGCCGCGGGGGGGAUGACGGCCGUCGGGUGGGAAGCACCGCUCACAAGGGACGAGGCAUGUUUGUGACGGUACCUAGAGAAAAAGCACCGGCUAACUACGUG
Molecule: ribosomal RNA, 467 nt
Filed under: uncultured bacterium
Lineage: Bacteria
Description: partial 16S ribosomal RNA
Rfam family: Bacterial small subunit ribosomal RNA
Source: RNAcentral